UGAAAUAUUAAAAUUUUUAUAAAAUAUUGCUAUUUUAUAGUUGUCUAGAAAAAUCAUUAUCAUUAGCUUAUUAUCUUAAUAUUAAUCAUCUUUAUUUAAAUAAAUAUGAUAUUUAAAUAAAAAUGAUAUUAGCUAUGUUUAGUGAGGACUAUUAGUGUUUCAAAAUUCUUUUUACCCUGACUUUCCUUACUUUCUUCCAAUUCUAUCAUUUCCAAAUUGUCCCCACAACUGAUAUUCAGAACUUUUCAGCCCCAUUCCCUUACCAAAUUUUCUCUUCUCUGAUGCCCAUCCUAUUCUGAGGCAUCAUAUUCUGCUUAUUAUUCAUACCAUAUGAUUCUUUUCUUUGUGCAUUUACCUUUGGACUAGUAGUUGUUAUGCUUAAAAUUCCCUGGAGAUGGUAAAUUAAAUUAUAAUUAUUUAUUAGUAAAAGAUGUAAUAGUGAGGGGGAUUUUGAAAAGGAAGGAACUAAUGUUCAGCUGUUGGGGAUUGAUUACUACAUGACACUUCCUCUUUCUUUCUUUAAGCUGAGCUGUUACCAAUGGAGUCAGUCAGGCUAGACUAAAUAGUAAGUCAGAUUUUCCUUCAGCCUCCUUCUUAUAAUGAUGGAAUUUGAAGCUCCCCUCCUAACACAGAGAAUCUGUGUUUCAUGUUUGUGUGAUUCAAUGUGUGUGUGAUUCAAAGAAUGUGUGAUUCAAGUUCUAUUAUAAAUCAAGAUAUCUAAUUUAUUUGGGUAUAAGAUUAUUGAAAGAAUAAAAAAGGAUAAUGAAAUGACAGAGGGAAGAAGUCCCCAACAUUUUCUUUUCUAUUGUAGUAGAUAUUAAAAUUUGGUGAAUUAUAGUAGGGGGCAAUUUUUUGAGAGGUUGCACCAGGAAGUAAGCCAGUGAAAAGACUGAAUCUUGAGCCCCUCCCCUACACUACUUCCUGUUCCUUUUCAACUGUUUGGGAAAUGGUCUUCUCACAGAUGGAAGAAGAAACAGGAAAACCACUCUCUAAGAAAGGAAAGGCAAAGUGUCAAGAAAGAAAAUGACUUCCCUAAAAAUUAGAAUUGGACAAAUAGAAGCUAACACUUCAUGAGAUAGCAU
RNAcentral lists this long non-coding RNA (1082 nucleotides) under Monodelphis domestica (gray short-tailed opossum). Its description in RNAcentral is "lncRNA (ENSMODG00000039826.1)". The record is from RNAcentral. Lineage: Eukaryota; Metazoa; Chordata; Mammalia; Didelphimorphia; Didelphidae.